This 305-nucleotide ribosomal RNA is filed under the name uncultured bacterium. Its description in RNAcentral is "partial 16S ribosomal RNA". It matches the Rfam family "Bacterial small subunit ribosomal RNA", at positions 508 to 809 of the family's 1533-position model. The record is from RNAcentral.
ACAGCAGUAGCCGCGGGAAUACAGAGGGUGCGAGCGUUAAUCGGAUUUACUGGGCGUAAAGCGUGCGUAGGCGGCUUCUUAAGUCGGAUGUGAAAUCCCUGAGCUUAACUUAGGAAUUGCAUUCGAUACUGGGAAGCUAGAGUAUGGGAGAGGAUGGUAGAAUUCCAGGUGUAGCGGUGAAAUGCGUAGAGAUCUGGAGGAAUACCGAUGGCGAAGGCAGCCAUCUGGCCUAAUACUGACGCUGAGGUACGAAAGCAUGGGGAGCAAACAGGAUUAGAUACCCAAGUAGUCCCUGUCUCUUAUAA